GUGAGGGAACGCGUCGACCCCUUGACUGGGUGAGGAGGACACGGCAUGUGAAUUGGGAGUGCUGUUGAACAGUGACCUAUGUGACAUACUGGGUAAACUCAGCCCCUUCCCCCUCCGGGCUGAUGCAGGACUACAGUCAGCAGAUAUCCUGGGAAGAAGGGAGGACAGUGACAAGAACCAGCAUCUUAUAGCCUGGCUGCCAGGAAGCCAGCCCUAGAGAAUGACGUUCAGGACAAAACACAACCCAUGUUCCACUUGGCACCAAGUCCUCACUGUUUUCCUCUCUGCCCCCAUCUUCCACCUUUGGAUCUCUGGCCAGUCGAAUACACAGAUGUGGAGCCAGUGGACACUGGGGGCCAACUGUACAUCCACGUGGAUUCUG
Molecule: long non-coding RNA, 382 nt
Filed under: Heterocephalus glaber (naked mole-rat)
Lineage: Eukaryota; Metazoa; Chordata; Mammalia; Rodentia; Bathyergidae
Description: lncRNA (ENSHGLG00100045418.1)
Source: RNAcentral